This 85-nucleotide transfer RNA is filed under the name Planctomycetaceae bacterium. RNAcentral's name for it is "tRNA-Ser". It matches the Rfam family "tRNA". Rfam says of the family: Transfer RNA (tRNA) molecules are approximately 80 nucleotides in length. Their secondary structure includes four short double-helical elements and three loops (D, anti-codon, and T loops). The record is from RNAcentral. Lineage: Bacteria; Pseudomonadati; Planctomycetota; Planctomycetia; Planctomycetales; Planctomycetaceae. RNAcentral also lists the same sequence under 1 other name.
GGAGAGGUGGCAGAGUGGUCGAAUGCACCGGUCUUGAAAACCGGCGUGGGGAAACCCACCGGGGGUUCGAAUCCCCCCCUCUCCG